This 612-nucleotide long non-coding RNA is filed under the name Marmota monax (woodchuck). Lineage: Eukaryota; Metazoa; Chordata; Mammalia; Rodentia; Sciuridae. The record is from RNAcentral.
GUUUGUCUUGGACACUGUUUAUAUCAUCCCAUAUGCUCUGCCUCAAUGCUUAUAUAGGAUUCCUUGGUAUGGUAUGUAAUAAUUUAAGUAUAACAUGUCCUCUUUGGUGGAUAUUUAACUUUUUCUCCCAAUUUUUUGCUAUUAUGAGCAAGGCCAUACACCUCUGGGCAUAUGUCAUUUUGUACAUUCUGGAUAUCUGAAGGUUAAAUGCCUGGAUGUGGAAUUGUUAGUUGUGGUUAUAUGGCACUCGCAAUUUUGGGAGAUGAGAUACUGAUUAACAGGUCCAUUAGCAAUGCAUCAAGGUAUCUACUAAUUUACAAAUCUAACAGCUAGGAAAUGGCAUAUCUUUUUAGUUCUAAUAUGUAUUUCCUUCAUGGUGUAUAAGAUGGAACAUCUUUUUAUACAUUUAAGAGCCAUUGGUAUUUUCUUUCUGUAAACUUUAUCCUCUUUACUAUCAGGUCAUUGGUCUUUUUAUUAUUGAUUUGUAAUAACUCUUAAUAUAUUAAAAAAUGUGUCUUUGUGACAUAACUAGCAGAUAUUUUUCAGUUUGUCACUUGUCAUUUAAUUUUAUUUGUGAGUUUUUUUGGUACUACAAAAAUUUUAAUUUGUGUC